RNAcentral lists this ribosomal RNA (329 nucleotides) under uncultured eukaryote. RNAcentral's name for it is "partial 18S ribosomal RNA". It matches the Rfam family "Eukaryotic small subunit ribosomal RNA", at positions 1470 to 1796 of the family's 1831-position model. The record is from RNAcentral.
CCCUUAGAUGUUCUGGGCCGCACGCGCGCUACACUGAUGCAUUCAACGAGUCUAAAACCUGCUCUGAUAGGGGUGGGUAAUCUUUUGAAUGUGCAUCGUGAUUGGGAUAGAUGAUUGAAAUUUUUCAUCUUCAACGAGGAAUGCCUAGUAAACGCAAGUCAUCAGCUUGCAUUGAUUACGUCCUUGCCCUUUGUACACACCGCCCGUCGCUCCUACCGAUUGAAUGAUCCGAUGAAUAUCAUGGAUUGAGGAUGCAAGUAGGUUCACCUAUCUUCAUCUUCGAGAAGUGAAGUAAAUCUUAUCAUUUAGAGGAAGGAGAAGUCGUAACA